This 2988-nucleotide ribosomal RNA is filed under the name Salmonella enterica subsp. enterica. RNAcentral's name for it is "bacterial LSU rRNA". It matches the Rfam family "Bacterial large subunit ribosomal RNA". Lineage: Bacteria; Pseudomonadati; Pseudomonadota; Gammaproteobacteria; Enterobacterales; Enterobacteriaceae. The record is from RNAcentral.
UUAAGCGACUAAGCGUACACGGUGGAUGCCCUGGCAGUCAGAGGCGAUGAAGGGCGUGCUAAUCUGCGAUAAGCGCCGGUAAGGUGAUAUGAACCGUUAUAACCGGCGAUACCCGAAUGGGGAAACCCAGUGUGACUCGUCACACUAUCAUUAACUGAAUCCAUAGGUUAAUGAGGCGAACCGGGGGGAACUGAAACAUCUAAGUACCCGGAGGAAAAGAAAUCAACCGAGAUUCCCCCAGUAGCGCGAGCGAACGGGGAGGAGCCCAGAGCCUGAAUCAGCAUGUGUGUUAGUGGAAGCGUCUGGAAAGGCGCGCGAUACAGGGUGACAGCCCCGUACACAAAAGCGCAUGUGCUGUGAGCUCGAUGAGUAGGGCGGGACACGUGGUAUCCUGGUCUGAAUAUGGGGGGACCAUCCUCCAAGGCUAAAUACUCCUGACUGACCGAUAGUGAACCAGUACCGUGAGGGAAAGGCGAAAAGAACCCGGCGAGGGGAGUGAAAAAGAACCUGAAACCGUGUACGUACAAGCAGUGGGAGCACCCUUCGGGGUGUGACUGCGUACCUUUUGUAUAAUGGGUCAGCGACUUAUAUUCUGUAGCAAGGUUAACCGUAUAGGGGAGCCGGAGGGAAACCGAGUCUUAAUUGGGCGUUAAGUUGCAGGGUAUAGACCCGAAACCCGGUGAUCUAGCCAUGGGCAGGUUGAAGGUUGGGUAACACUAACUGGAGGACCGAACCGACUAAUGUUGAAAAAUUAGCGGAUGACCUGUGGCUGGGGGUGAAAGGCCAAUCAAACCGGGAGAUAGCUGGUUCUCCCCGAAAGCUAUUUAGGUAGCGCCUCGUGAAUUCAUCUCCGGGGGUAGAGCACUGUUUCGGCUAGGGGGGCCAUCCCGGCUUACCAACCCGAUGCAAACUGCGAAUACCGGAGAAUGUUAUCACGGGAGACACACGGCGGGUGCUAACGUCCGUCGUGAAGAGGGAAACAACCCAGACCGCCAGCUAAGGUCCCAAAGUCAUGGUUAAGUGGGAAACGAUGUGGGAAGGCCCAGACAGCCAGGAUGUUGGCUUAGAAGCAGCCAUCAUUUAAAGAAAGCGUAAUAGCUCACUGGUCGAGUCGGCCUGCGCGGAAGAUGUAACGGGCUAAACCAUGCACCGAAGCUGCGGCAGCGAACGUAUCACCCAAGACAACUUUACGGAGUUGACGAUUGACGGAGCGAAGCGACGUCAAAGCGUUCAUUAAAGUCGAGUUGGCUUAGGGAUACGUUCGUUGGGUAGGGGAGCGUUCUGUAAGCCUGUGAAGGUGUGUCGUGAGGCAUGCUGGAGGUAUCAGAAGUGCGAAUGCUGACAUAAGUAACGAUAAAGCGGGUGAAAAGCCCGCUCGCCGGAAGACCAAGGGUUCCUGUCCAACGUUAAUCGGGGCAGGGUGAGUCGACCCCUAAGGCGAGGCCGAAAGGCGUAGUCGAUGGGAAACGGGUUAAUAUUCCCGUACUUGGUGUUACUGCGAAGGGGGGACGGAGAAGGCUAUGUUGGCCGGGCGACGGUUGUCCCGGUUUAAGCGUGUAGGUGUGUGUUCCAGGUAAAUCCGGUUCACUUUAACACUGAGGCGUGAUGACGAGGCACUACGGUGCUGAAGCAACAAAUGCCCUGCUUCCAGGAAAAGCCUCUAAGCAUCAGGUAACAUCAAAUCGUACCCCAAACCGACACAGGUGGUCAGGUAGAGAAUACCAAGGCGCUUGAGAGAACUCGGGUGAAGGAACUAGGCAAAAUGGUGCCGUAACUUCGGGAGAAGGCACGCUGACACGUAGGUGAAGUGAUUUACUCAUGGAGCUGAAGUCAGUCGAAGAUACCAGCUGGCUGCAACUGUUUAUUAAAAACACAGCACUGUGCAAACACGAAAGUGGACGUAUACGGUGUGACGCCUGCCCGGUGCCGGAAGGUUAAUUGAUGGGGUCAGCGCAAGCGAAGCUCCUGAUCGAAGCCCCGGUAAACGGCGGCCGUAACUAUAACGGUCCUAAGGUAGCGAAAUUCCUUGUCGGGUAAGUUCCGACCUGCACGAAUGGCGUAAUGAUGGCCAGGCUGUCUCCACCCGAGACUCAGUGAAAUUGAACUCGCUGUGAAGAUGCAGUGUACCCGCGGCAAGACGGAAAGACCCCGUGAACCUUUACUAUAGCUUGACACUGAACAUUGAGCCUUGAUGUGUAGGAUAGGUGGGAGGCUUUGAAGUGUGGACGCCAGUCUGCAUGGAGCCGACCUUGAAAUACCACCCUUUAAUGUUUGAUGUUCUAACGUGGACCCGUAAUCCGGGUUGCGGACAGUGUCUGGUGGGUAGUUUGACUGGGGCGGUCUCCUCCUAAAGAGUAACGGAGGAGCACGAAGGUUGGCUAAUCCUGGUCGGACAUCAGGAGGUUAGUGCAAUGGCAUAAGCCAGCUUGACUGCGAGCGUGACGGCGCGAGCAGGUGCGAAAGCAGGUCAUAGUGAUCCGGUGGUUCUGAAUGGAAGGGCCAUCGCUCAACGGAUAAAAGGUACUCCGGGGAUAACAGGCUGAUACCGCCCAAGAGUUCAUAUCGACGGCGGUGUUUGGCACCUCGAUGUCGGCUCAUCACAUCCUGGGGCUGAAGUAGGUCCCAAGGGUAUGGCUGUUCGCCAUUUAAAGUGGUACGCGAGCUGGGUUUAGAACGUCGUGAGACAGUUCGGUCCCUAUCUGCCGUGGGCGCUGGAGAACUGAGGGGGGCUGCUCCUAGUACGAGAGGACCGGAGUGGACGCAUCACUGGUGUUCGGGUUGUCAUGCCAAUGGCACUGCCCGGUAGCUAAAUGCGGAAGAGAUAAGUGCUGAAAGCAUCUAAGCACGAAACUUGCCCCGAGAUGAGUUCUCCCUGAGACUUUAGGUCUCCUGAAGGAACGUUGAAGACGACGACGUUGAUAGGCCGGGUGUGUAAGCGCAGCGAUGCGUUGAGCUAACCGGUACUAAUGAACCGUGAGGCUUAACCUU